CAGCUCUCGCCAGCCCUGCCAUAUGAAUGGCACACAUCACAUUUACUGCACUGGGCACGCCGGUUCAUGGCUGCUCACCACCUGCAUUAGGAAGCCACCCAUUCAGUAAGGGGUGCCUCGUAUACAGCUUAUUAAAAGAAAUCCAAUAAAUCAAAGAGCCUUGUAUCCAGAUGUCAAAACUUUGGAAACUGUGCUUUGUGAAAGUUAUCUGCCAGGGUGAAACAAUGCCGGAUUGUUUCAGGGCAUGUCAACACACAAAGACAUGGGAACUAAGCUCUGUGUCACAUUAACAGUGUUAAACCGACUUCUGAAGUUGGCUCACACACUGGGUCAGCUGAGAGCUCAAACUGAGGAAUCCAAGAUCUGUCACCACCUAUCCACAGAAGGAUGUGAAAGAAAUGCUGUUCAUUUCUGAGCACUGAAAUGUAAAACAGCAACUAGCAAAGCCUAAAUUUCUAUUUCUACUGCUUCUGUUAAAAUCUUUCCUCUAAGUGCAAAUAAAAAAUACCACAUACAAACUCAUCCUCUGUUUUUGGAAAGUGGCUGUAGCUGGAAGGAUGCCUACCUGAUAUAGGCAAGAUCCCUUACUUCAUUUAGUGGGGUUACG
Molecule: long non-coding RNA, 607 nt
Organism: Pezoporus occidentalis (night parrot)
Lineage: Eukaryota; Metazoa; Chordata; Aves; Psittaciformes; Psittacidae
Exons: 3
Source: RefSeq, a predicted model, not a curated record